This 253-nucleotide ribosomal RNA is filed under the name uncultured bacterium. RNAcentral's name for it is "partial 16S ribosomal RNA". It matches the Rfam family "Bacterial small subunit ribosomal RNA", at positions 524 to 776 of the family's 1533-position model. The record is from RNAcentral.
UACGAAGGGGGCUAGCGUUGCUCGGAAUCACUGGGCGUAAAGGGUGCGUAGGCGGGUCUUUAAGUCAGAGGUGAAAUCCUGGAGCUCAACUCCAGAACUGCCUUUGAUACUGAGGAUCUUGAGUAUGGGAGAGGUGAGUGGAACUGCGAGUGUAGAGGUGAAAUUCGUAGAUAUUCGCAAGAACACCAGUGGCGAAGGCGGCUCACUGGCCCGAUACUGACGCUGAGGUGCGAAAGCGUGGGGAGCAAACAGG